UGAGUGGGUGUGAACUUGGGGUUCUGUUUUUAAACCUCCUUAAAAUUUGUGAUAAUUGAAUAGAAAACUCUGUUGCCUUGAAUGGAUGUGUUUGGUUAUCAAGGAGAGAAGCUUCUCGAUCUGCUUGUUGAGUGCAGCGUGGAGGCCUGGUCCCUGGGAUAGCCCAGGGAUGAGGUGGCCUCGGCAGCAACAACAGUUUGUUAAGAAGUUCAGGCUAGCCGGCGUCUCCACUUGGGUUUCCUCUCUAGGCUUUGGGAAAAUGUUCAUGGCACUGGACGGUUGUUGACAUGUGUUGAUUCCAUCUCUCGGCAAAGCCUAACUGGUCCAGGCCCUUUUUACAAUCCAGGCACAAAACCAUCUGAAGUCAGGAUUAGACACAGAAGCCCUGAGCUGUGGGCAGGAGGCACAGUAGCAGACUGUGUAAGAACACGGGCUGUGGUGUCAGAGGAUCUCAGCUUUGAGCCCCGGGACUCCACAAAUGUUAUGCAUUAGUUGUCAUUUCAUUAUUAUUCUGAUCUUGACAUGGUUACUAAUUCUGAGAACUUGAUCAAGUCAUUCUUGGCCUUACAGAUUUAGCUUCCUCAGCUGGAACUUGGGCAUGACAAUACUCAGUUCCCAGAAUUGUCAUGAAGAAAAAAUGAGAUAAGGGAGGUGACGUUGUAGCUCAGGGAGACCAGGGGCAGGCCUGGCUUUGUGGGCAUGUGGCCUGUGCAGUUGCCACAGUAGGAGAGCUCCACGCUUGGUUUAAUGAUCUACUGUCGCCAUCUUGAAAUUCUUAAUAAUUUCUGAACAGGGGUCCUCACGUUUUCAUUUUGCACUGGGCCCCACGAAGUCUGUAGCUGCUCUGUCUGGAGAUCCCCUGGACAUGUUACAGCACCAGUCCCAGGAGGAGAAAGAUGCUCCCCAGAAGGAGCUGGCCAGGGAGGGGCUCUUCCUGGUUGGGAGAGCACCGUUUCCACAUCUGGUGUCAAAAGGAGUGAGUGAUCAUCUGGCCCUUUUUUGGGGGAACCAGGAUGUGCUCUUCCUUACCCCUGGACCUUUGCACACCCUUUCCUCUUGCCAGUAACACUUUUCCCCUGCAUGCCUGUCAAGACUGAACUCCUAGUCCUCCACAUCUUUUGCUCUUUAUGAGAAAAGACCUUUCAAACUUGCGAGCAAGUGGCAUGAUAGUAUAGCCCAGGGGACAUUUGGGAAUCUAGGCUUCCUUUAAUGCAAGAUCAAUUUGUAUCUCAUCUUUGAGGAGUGAGUAGACAUAGUGGGGAGGAAUUGGACCCGGCACCAGCCAGCCUGGGUUCACAUCCCAGCUCUGCCCCUUCCUAGCUCCAUGACUUUGGGGGAGUUUCAUAAACACUCAAUCCUUUAGUCUCCUCAUCUGUAAGAAGGAAAUAAUACUAAAAUUACCUACAUUCACAGGUCAGCUAGGAGGAGCAGAUGAACCCAUGCAGACACAGCAGCUGGAGCUAUGCCUUUGCAGAGUGGGUACUCUUGUCCAUAAGCUAGAAUUAUGAUGCUUUUCCACGCUCUGUGACCUGAUUAACUGAAAGACCUUUAGAAUUAGUAAGAACCAGUUUGCAACUGCCCCUGGGAACUUGCUAGCUGUGCGAACCCAGGCACAAGCUGUUAUAUCUUGAUCUUACCCCUUCAAUCAUAGGAAUUCUGGGAGUAAGACCUGCGAUCAGCUGCAAGAGGUAGGAUGUAAGGGAAGGAGCAUAGGUUCGGGUCUUAGAAGCCAGCACGUACAUUUCAUCUCUUCUCUUUAUCAGCUGUGUGAAAUUCCAAGUUAUGAAAACUUCCAGAACCUUAUUUUUCUCUUUUAAAAUGGGGGUAGCAGUAUCAUUUAGAGAGGUGCUCCUCCACAAAAGAACACGAGUUCCACAAGGAGAGGGGUUUGCUUGCUUUGUUCUUUGCUGCAUCCCUCGGACAGUGCCUAGCACUCAGGAAAUGCAAAAUAAAUAUUUGAAGGAAGGGAUUGUUGAGAGAAUUAAAUAGCAUGAUUUAUGUAAAGUACCUAGCAUGGGAGACAGGCCCCUACAUAGCAGACGCUCAGGAAAGCAGUGGCUGUGGAUAUUUUCAAGUCAGGUGGGUGGGAACACUGUGGGUCUAGCCAAGGGCUCCAUUCGGAGCAGGACUGCCUGUCCCUGCUCCUGCCCAGGCGUGCUGCUGGGAUUGAGAAGAGGGAUCUGCCAAAGCAAGGAUGAGCAGAGUUGCUGAAGUGAAAACCAGGUGCGUGGAUCUCUCCAGCAGAACGAGGGGAAGGAGAUGGCUGUAGGUCACGUGGCAGUUUCCACUUACGCAGCAGCAGGAAGAAUGCCCCACGACUCCCUCAGGCAGAGAUGAGGCUCUCAUCUCACUCUUUUCUAUCAGAGUAAGCUUAGAAUCGUGGUAGAGCUUAGCUUACCUGAGGAAGAUGUUUGCAUUCCAGCCAGGGAGGGGCUGGGGAAGGCUGGCAGCCACUGCAACACGCUCCACAAAAGCAAGCUCUGAUUAUCACUCCAUUUGUUUUGACUAGGCAAGUGUUAGAUCCUUAUCAAGCAGAGAGGAGCAAAUUGGUUCCAAAUUUAAAAAAUGAAAGAGAAGAAUGAUCAUUUAGAAAGCGUGUCAACAAGAGGCACUGGCCUGAUUCACCGGCAGCAUGGCCUAGCGGAGAGUAAGGUGUGGUUUGAGUUCUGAUUUCGACUCUAAGCCAGAGUAUCCUCAUAAUACAUUAGGAGAAAGUGGCUCUAGCUCAGGUGUUCUCUUUACAUUCACUGGAGAGUGUGUAUGAGGUGAGACCCCCUCAUCAAGACCUUGAAGAGAGGCUGUGAAGUUGAGUGGAAUGAACACAGGCUGUGGAAUUGGGCUGGUCUGGAUUUGAUGCAUGCUCCACUGCUUGCAGGCUGGACAAUCUGAGCCUCUCUGAGCCUCAGUUCCCUCAUCUCUAAGCAAAAGUAAUAAGAACGCCAGUGUGCAGUGAGAAUUAAGUGGACAUUACAUAUAGUCUUGCUUAAUAAAUGUUCCCUGGGUCCAUACGCCCGCAAUCCAGAAUCCCAGGUUCCACAAUCAGAUUUCAGCUCUGGCUGAUUCUAGGAAAGUCAGUGAGAGCUGCAAUAAAUGAUUGAGAGAGUCUCACCCCUGAUCGCCUCUUCUCUAGGACCUUCCUGGAGUCUCUGGUGUCUGACUCAGUUCCACAGGUUCUUGGGCGGAGGGUAGGGUGAGGGAGGGAUGGCGGGAGGCAGGCCCAUGGAUAUCUUGAUAUCAGGGGCAAGACUCUGCUGGGUUCUAAGUGCAGAUGCCCAACCACCGAGGCAGCACUUAAGGGUAAUAUAUGCCAGGAUGUCUGAAUGACAUCUUCAGCAUCCUCAGCCAGGCCUCAUCACUGCUCCGUAUAUUCAUCAUCUGCAGAGUUAUUAACACACAUUUAUUGAAGCCCGCUUUGUAACAGGCCUGUCCUGGCCCAAGAACACAAGAGGUUUAAGUCGUGGAUCCUGCCCUUAUUCUUGGGACCACAUGGAAUAAGUCAGAUAAUAUCCCCAAGUUACCUUGCUCCCCAUCCUGCAUGGCUUCCAGCCUGCUCUCUGUGCCGGACCCUUGUCCACAGGACAUAAACUAGUUCAUCCAUUCCUGUCCUAAUGUGUAAUCUCCCAAACUGGAGAUGCUUCAUGAAGUAUGGAAUAGGAGGUCUGGACGCAUAGAGUACAGGGUUUCAGAUUCCAGAUGCCUGGUGUCUCCAUUUCAAGAACCAAUAAAAGACAAAAUAGAAUUAGCCUCAUCGUCUGCCCAGAUCUCUUUUGCCAUCUCUAUGCAAGGCAUUGCUAUGAUUCUGCCAUGAAAAAUAUUUAACAAAGUCAAAAUACCAUCUGCAGAAAUUAGCAGGGGGGGAAUGAUUGGGUUUAAGUAGGAACAAGUCAUGGGUGCAUGCAUUUUGAGAGGUAGAAAAACCAAGAGCAUAAAUGUAAGAUGGAAAGAGAGAGUUGUCGGAGGGAACACAGAGGGGACAGUUAUGAGGUUGGUCUCUGGCUCACUCUUCUCCCCUCACUGAUACAAUGCACAUCUUUGGCUUUCUAUGUGGACUGGCAAGUUAAUAUUUCCAACUCAGAUACAUCCUCAGUGUUCCAUAUUUGUAUAUCCAAUUGCCUCUUAACACUUUCUCUUAGGUGUUUCAAAAUACUCCAAACUGAAGCCAUGCUCUUCAUGACUCCCUUCCUCGAGUCUGCUUCUCUUUCUGAUUUCCCUCUUUCGGUGAAGUCACCGUGAUCCAUUCACUUGCACAAAGCGCAAACUUAGGAAUCAUUUGUGACAUCUCUUUCUCCCUCCAUCCCCCAUCUCCAAUUCAUCACCAGCCUGUUGACUUUAAUUCCUAAAAGUCACUCGAGUCGAUCUACUUCUCUUCCACCUCCUGCCAAUAUGCUAGUCCAAACUGCCAUUUCUUUCCUCAAAACUCCCCACAGUCUUCUGGCUGGUCUUCUUGCAUGCAGUUUCUUCCUCACCCUGCAGCCAGAGGGAUUCUCCCCAGAUGCGUCUCUGAUCACAUCAUCCUGCCAUUGACUCUGUCCUCAUAGGGACAUACUAAAACUCUUCAGUGGCGGCUCCUUGCUCAUAUGAUAAAGAUAUGCUGUAGGGCUGGAGACAAAGUGAGCUCCCCCGAGCUGAGCACGGAAGUGGGAGUGGAGGAAGGGUCCUUUAGCAAGGCCAGAUACGAAGCUGUUACAGCACAAGGGGAAGUGGAUGCUGGUCAUGGAGAGACAGCAGACAUCCACCACAAGGACAGUCUCUCAAGGGAGCGUUUUCUCAAGGAAGAACUUUGCAAGGGAUUAACAGGAUUUCAAGACCCUGUACAGGUGGACUUAGAUAAUGGUUUCAGCAAGAGACUAAGAGACCUUAUAGGCUUAGGGAAAAGCUGACUGAGUGGAAUCAGGGCACGUAUAUCAAGUUUAGGGCAGCGUUAGUAAGACCGCACUAGUGGUGAGGCCAAGGCACCUAAUAUGCAUCUGACUGCUGAAGACUUCCAGUUCAUGGAGCUAUACAGGAGCAGGCUGGGGCUGACAGGAGUCUGGCAUGACUUGGUCAUACUGAACCUCCGUUGGCUUCUCCCUGCUCAGAAACCAUCUGUUCUAUAAUGUCUUCUAGAAUUGAACUGGGAUUUGAUGUUGUACUGCCCGAUCUCUAAUUCCUGGGAGUCGGCCUUGAAUCUUUGUUCUUGCCUGAAAAUGAGCUCAAUUGCUCAUCGCCAGUCUCCUGGUGUCUCUCUCACCUACCUACCCUGAAGAUUUCUUCUUUCUUUCUUGAAGUUGAACUUAUAUUUCAUAAUAGGUGCCUCUGUUUAAUCCACCGUUUGAAGUGCUGGAGGAGCAAGGAAGGCCAGACAGAGUUUCUUCCCUUUCAGCCCAUCUUCUGUGUCUCUCUAGAGACAUUGAAAAAAAAAAAAAAGCCAGCUCUCUGUUUAAAAGCCUCCAAUUUUCUGCAGACUAAAGUUCAACCACCCUAAUGUGGCACAUGGAAUUCUUUGUAACACAGCCUGCAUCUUGUGGGGUUUCUUGGUUACAGGCACAGUAACUAUCUCUGAAUGGUGCAAGCCUUAGAAAGCUCAUGGAAUGGAAGGCAUAGCUGAUCAAAGAAGCCUAAGAAAGGACUGGAACCAGGAGACCUCCAAUAAUCCAGAGAAUAGGACUUAAGCGACAGUCUCUUCAAGACCCUGUGGCUGGUACAAACCAGCUCCAAGACAUUUCCCUCAGCCCCUCCGUUCAUGAUUUAAAUUCCUAAGAACCACCUCCCACCACCAUUGUGUAGCUUCUUAGAGGAAAUACCAACCAAAGUGUCCCACGUCCCUUGGGUAAGGAGCAGUGACCUAAGCUCAGCCGGCUUGAUUGAGGAGGGCAGCGCCAUUCUUAAGCCCAUGCAGAAAACAUCCCUGCACUGAGUCAUCCACCCUAGAAGUCUCCACUCUAGUCCUUCUCCCAUCACGUCUUCCCACGGGAUAAGGAGGCCACAGGCCAAGGGCACUUGCCCACCUCAACCUGCACCCUCCCUUCUGGACCAUUCUCUUGGUCAUGGAGACCCUGGACUUCCCUGCCCAAGUUGGCUCUUCCCUGGAUCUGUCCUCCCGAGGGCACAUGGCACAUGAAAGCCAGAGGGGAUGUAAAGACUGCUGUCCACCCAUUUUCACUGUGCAGGUUAUGAUGUACUCACACAUGUACAAAAAGCCACUACAGUGAUGGGCAGAGCUGGGAGUAGGAAGAGAAGUGGGGAACAGGCGGAGGGUAGGGAUCCGGGAGCCAUAAGCCAGGAGCCAGCUCUCCCCAUGCUGCUAUAUUCUGGCAAGAAAAUCUGAGAAGUCAGAGGAUUCCAAAUUUGAACUUGGCCUUCCGGGUCAUUUUGAAGAUAGGAGGAUAGUACAUAUUUUAAAUGACACUUUAAUAGAUUGCUUUAUCACUUUCAAAUCCCUGGGCAUGUGGUAUAUGGCCCUUCAUUUGUACUCUUCCUCUGGGUCCUGCAAGGGUAUAGGCAGGUCGGUCAAAGAGCAUCAGGAUGCUGCUACCCGAGGAAGAGGCCAGUGAUGUCCACGUGCUGUUGAGAUUCCGUGUUCCCACCCCUGUGUGUAGUGACCCAGCGCCCCGUGACUCAGCUGCCCAGGCCCUGAGCAGACCCUGCAAAUGCCGGAGGCUCCCAACUGUCUCCCUGCCUCCACGUUCGCCCCCUGGAGUCUUCUCAGUCGAGCAUCCAAAGGUAUCUUUGAAACAUAUAACGAAUCAAGCCACUUCCCAGCCUCCAGUGACCGCUCCCCACCCCCACCUACCCCGCCCAGAGGAAAAGUUAAAAUCUUUUCCACAUUUCACAAAGCUUUGCACGACACCUCCCAGCUUCCAUCCACCGUCUCUCUGUCCUCUUGCUGACCCACUCCAGCCGUGCUGUCCUUCUGGUGGUUGCUGGGACACGUCAAGCUCAGCCCUGCAUGGGGUCCUCUGCACCUGCUGUCCUUGUGGCUGGAACAUUCUUCCCUUGGUUGUCACCAUGGCUAGCUCUUUCAGCUCCUUCAGCUCUCUGUUUAUGCUACUUCCUAGCACAAUCUUCUCUGGUGACCCCAACUAAAGUAGGGGACCCCGUUCCCACCGCAGCAUCUCCCACCUCCUUUCCCUGCAUUAUUCUCCGCACAGCACUCCCCGUCACACUAUGCAUCUUGAUUGUUUCUUGCAUGUUAUCUAUCUAGACAGACUAGAAGAGAAGCAACGUGCGGGCAGGGACCUUUGUCUGUCUGUUCCCUGCUGUCUCUCCAGCACCUGAAACACUCCUGAGCUCAGAGGUGACACUCCACAAAUGUUUGUUGAGUGAAUAAUGGGAUGAAUGAAUGAAAGCAUACAUGCCAUGCCCCUGAGCCCCUGCAUAUGGUCCCCUCUCUUUCUGGGAUGCCACCAUCAUCUUCUCCUUCAAGGCCUAGCUCAGCAUUACCCUAUCUCUGCGGCACGUCCUCCUCUCCAUCCCACCCCAGCAGCAUUGUUUUUGGUUCCCCCAUCAUACUUUACACAUACUUCUCUAAUAAUACUCACUACAUUCAAUUAUUAUCUGGUGGUUUUUUCUUUUAAAAGAUGUACAUAAGCAGUACAUGAAUACAUUCACUUUAUUAAAUAUUCAAACAAUAUAGUAAGUGAAAGAUCUCCUCUAGGCUACUCUCAAAAUCUAACUUUCCUUUCCAGAAGUAAUCUUGUCUGGGGAUUUACAUACACAUACAUGGAUAAAAAAGUAAAGUUUUGUUUUGAGUGUGCAUGUGUGUGCUUUAUUAUACCUAUGUUCUGGCAUUUUCUAUGAUUUGCAUCUUUGACACAGAGUACUUUGUGUGAUUGUCCGUUUUGUACCGGUAUGCAUUUAAAUCACUUCAAAAAAUACUUUAGCAUUGAAUUAGAUAGAAUGGAGGCAAGAAGAUUUAGUUGGCCAUUCCCCAUCUUAUGGGUAUUUAGAUGGUUCACAUUGCUGCAGCCAUGCCACAGUGAAAGUUCCUACACAGGUCUGUUAGAGCAUAUGUGUUUCUCCAGACUACAUACCUAGAAGGGAAAUAGAGCAUUUGAAAAGUGUGCAGAUUUUAACCUGCCAAUUCACCCUUUAAAAAGCCUGUAAAAAUUAUGCUUCUGUGAAGGUGGGAUAUUUUUAAUAUUUGACUAUUUGCUGGGAGAAAAUGUCUCAUUCGAGUUUUGUUUUUCAUUUCCCUGAUUAUUGCUGAAGUUUACAUGUUUGUCUAUAUUUAUUAGAAUUUAGUUUCUCUUGUGACUCGUUUUUCCAUCUUCUUGGCCCGUUUUUCUUUUCUCUUGCUGUCACUAUCUUACGUGCCUGUUUGUUUUACUUGACUGUGAGCUCCUUCAGGUGGUCAUCACAUCUUAUUUAUCAAGGUUUCCCCUUCCAGAGCACACAGACAGUGCUUAAUGAAUGUAUAUCCAAUUGCAUUAUUGAAGCCAUAGGCAUUACCCUCCAUCAUGGUUAUCAUCAUUAUCAUCCUCCUCAUCACCGCCAGUACCAUUUAUUUAGUCUCACAGGAUGCUAAGCCCUGUCUCGGGAGGUGUGCGUAUAUAGUCUCUCAUCUUCCUAAUACCUCGCCCAACAAAGUGACUAUUGGUAGCUCUGUUUUACAGAUAAAGCAGUUGAGACUCACGCAAGUUACACGGGCUGCCCAAGGACACUCAGCCGGAUUAUGAAGGGAGGGAUUAUGGAGCAGAGUCUUUUCAGCCUGGUUCCAAAGUAUGUGCAGUCUCCCUUAGAGCAAUUGGCCUCUUCCUGGCCACGCAUUAGAAUCACCUGAACAGGCUUUUAAAUGAUAGCUAUAUCCAGUCCUACCCCAGGCCAAUUGAUUCAGAAACUCUGGGACUAGGUCUGGGGAAGUGGUGUUAUAAAAAUCCCUACAUGAUUUUGAUGUGCAGAAAUGGUUGAAAACCUUUGGUCUACAUUGGGAGUGAACCAGCUUUUUUUGUAAAGUGCCAGAUAGUAAAUAUUUUAGACUUUGCCUGCCAUACAGUCUCUGUGGCAACUAUCCACCUUUGCUGUUGUAGGGUCAAAACAGCCAAAGACAAAAAUGAACGAACAUGACUGUGUUCCAAUUAAAACCCAUUUACAAAAACAAAUGGCAGCCAAAUUCGGUCCAUGGGCUGUAGUUUGUGGACCCCUAGUCUAUAUCAUAAUACUUCGAAGAUCUUGGAAUUUCGGAUUGUCCCAGUCAAACCACGACAUCUGGUCACAUUAAUUACCUUGCUAAGUCUCAAGGACAGUGGCAUGAGAAUCCUUGCCCCACCUCAAGAGAUUCUGCUUCAGUAGGUUGGGGCCUGGGCGUCUGCAUUUCAACAAGGGAUGCAGCUGAUUCUGAUGUAAGCAGACUUCGUGGGUCCUUACUGCAAGAAUCACUGGGCUACCGAAGCAUAAUGUUCUUGGCAAGUAGCGAAAGCUUGGCUGGAGAAGCAGAACUGGUUCUUAUCCAAAAAUUCUUUAAGCUCAUGGAUAGACAUUUUGUGCGUCCCUGCCUGCCUUAUGUUCCAGCAUCCUGCCUCCAAGGUUCUGGAACCUUUGGUGCCCCAGCAUCACAUCUUCCCAGUCUGCACGUUGGCAGAGAAGGAAGCCGUCCUGCCUCUUCAACUCUGAAAUUAGUAGAAGACCAAAGUCCUUGUAUAUUUCAAAAUAUUGAAGAAGAAAGUGACUGUUUAACCACCUACGUGAUAAAACUGAUACUGGCAUUUAUCAGUCUGUGUGUGUGUGUGUGUGUGUGUGUUUUAAUAGUUCAGUAGUUAGAAAAUGGAGCCUCCAUUUCCCCCUCAUCCACUUUGAAGCUAUGUAGUGGGUGAAUGCCAUCAUUUCUGUUUCCAACCUCUUUAGCAUCCAUUAUUUCUCUGUUGUCCACAUCUAAUAGUCUGGAUCUUUUUAGUUGUUGAUGGCGCAGCGAUUACUGGGGCUGCUGCUUUAGGAUGACAUCCAAAUGCCUCUGAACAGUUGAAUUUACUUACUGCUUCCCUCCUGAAAGCUUUUUAGCAUGAUCCAGCUGGGGUGGUUUCAUCGGGAAAACCAUUAUUUGUGGCUCUCUUUUUUUGAGGAGUAGAAAUAAAUUUCCCAAAAGAUGAAAGUGGACGCUGUUCAUUGUGGAUCUGCAAUCUUACUUUUGCUUCUCUCUCCUUCUUACAUUUCAUUUGCACAGUUUUUCUCAGGAAUGACUUCUUUCUGGGGAAAUGGAAUGUUCUAACUUGCACGAUUGAGUCAAAUCAAUGUUUAGAGUGGUUUGGACUUUUAAGCCUUUUGCUGGAUUUUGGCAGUAUCAUUUUAUACUGUAAAACCCCUUUUUCCCAGGUAACCUAUAAUAUUCAUAUUGAACAUUAUUCACAGCUUUCUAACACCCCCUCAUUUCACUUAGCUAUCAGCUAAGCAAAUAGUGCUCAAGAGUUAAAAAUAUGCUAUUCUUCCUCUACAGCACAUGCACUUUUAUGUGAAAGGGGAACAGUUCUGUGUUCCUAAUCUAUAUACAUAUCUAUCUGUGCAUGUAGUAGCUUUCAACACUGUAAUUAGACACAGAAACCACACCGUGCCAACACAGUGCACACAUGCAGGUUUAUAGAGCAGCUGUGACAAAUAUAUAAUAUGGUAAAACACCUUUUCACCAGCUGGGACAAAUUCUAGAGUAUACAAGGAGAGUUUCAAAUGAAAAUUAGGUAGAAGAAUCUGAACUAUUUCAUGCAGGAGGACUGCACAGAUGAAAAUAUCUAGGACGCCUCUCUGGAAGAGUGUAUUUGAGAGGCAGUGUGCAAUACUGGAAGGCUGAUAGCUCAAGGAGUCCAAUCCUCUUGGAUUUAAAUCCCAGCCAAGGUGCUGUGUGAUCUUGGGCAAGUUGCUUUACCUCUCUGAGACUCAAGUACCCUGUUACAUCACAGAGAUAGUAGCAGCACGUUUACCUCAUGGGGCUGGUGUGAGGAUUAAGUGAGGUAACAAAUGUCAGGCUGCAGACAUACUUUCAUCAUCUGAGGAUCGGAACCACAGUGUGGUGAUGAAAAUGAAAGGAGAUAUGUCAUCAUUACAACAGAAAUCUCUGGAAUAUGCCCCUCCCUGCCACACACAGAAAAUAUGAGUCUCUUUUGUGAACUGUCAAUGUUAAUAGCAUCCACAUUUACUCAGCUACCCUCAUAAAAAAAUUAGGAGCUACACUUAAAUGGUUUCUCUCUCCUCCUACCUGUCCCCUUCUUCUCAUGCCUGAUCCCCCAUGGUCACUUGGUACCAAAUUGUGCCAUUCAGCCUCCGAAAUAACUUUCUAAUUCGGUCUCCUCAGCUUCAUCCUCCCUGUCACUGCCUCAGUUCAGACCCUUAUUGUCUUUUGUCUGGAUUAAUGCAAGAACCUCUUAACCAAUUUCAGUAUCUUCGGCUUGGAUCCUCCAUGAUCCAUUAGUAGCCCCAUUUUACAGAUUAGAAAAUUGAGACAGAGAGAGGUUCAAUCAAGAGCCCCAAAUCACACAGCUAGUAAGUGGUGUUAUAGGGAUUCCAACCUCAGCAGCCUGGCUCUAGGAUCUCUGCCCUUUCCUACCUUGGAGCUUGGUGCAGUGCAUUAUUUGGUUGUGGAAAUCGGCAGUACCUCCUACGUCUGGUAAUUGCCUCGAGUGAGUCCUGUUUCCCCCUCACCAGAUGUUUCCUUAGAGCUGCUCUAACUGAUACAUCGAUCCUGCAGGAGCUCCAAGGAGCAGCCAAGCCAUUCUGCAGGAAGAGAGUGGGUGAAGGAGGAACAGGCAGAAAUGUACAAAUAAGUUCUGGUGGGAGACCAUCAGUGCAUCGUGGAUGCUGUCCAGAGGCUGACGUGGGCCACGUAUAGAAAGAGGAGGCUGAACUAGGGAUGGAGAAAGUAGGGAUUCAGGUCCAUUUCAGCAUUUCAGGAGUCUGGUCCAGUGGGUGGGGCCUGGCAUGAAGAACUGCCAGGGGGGAUGAUGCUGGGAUUCUGGCAGUAACAGAGGCUGCUGGUUUAGAGCAGGAUCGCAGGCAGACGUGAUGCUGUGGUACCACAGGGACAGAUCAUCCAUGUUCCCGUGAAGCCACAGCCACUCUGAAGCCGGGGCCAGGGCUUUCCCACGCCCUGUGGUCGUAGGCACUAGAGUGGCAGGAAAAGUAAACUGAGAAACUACAAGUUUCUCCUUGUAGAAACCUUACUCAUUCUUAAAACUCACUUAAAAAUUAAUAUUUAUCUAAGGAAUCCCUGCUUGUGCCUUUAAAAUCAAAUAGUACUGAAGGCUUUAUAAAGAACCGUGACAGGCCCUCCCCAACCUCACAACCCCAGUCCUUUCUAUCCCCCCAGUUCCAUUCCCCAUGGAAACCACUUUAGCCAUUUCUAUCAUAGCUGUUCUUGUGUUUACCUCCAUUUAUAUAACUAGUACGAAUACUUGUAUUUAAAAGUAAUUUUAAAAUAUUAGAUACUAACUUCUUGCCAUGGUAGAUAAAAUUUGAGUAGGUAAAAUUGCAGGUGGAUGAAAUUUGGUCGACACCCCAUUCCCCUCUUCACUCUUCUCAGUCUGUCCUCACUUAAAUCUUUAUUCAUGCAAAGUUCAUCUUGGCAUGGAAGGUGACCCCUUUCCUGGAACGUGUUCAGAGACUGCUCCUCCCCUGCUCCCACAUAGCUGUGUAUCUCUCUUAGUGCACUGUUCCCCUUGCCCUUCCACGAUGAGGUUAUCUAUAGAACAGGUCACACAACUGUGGUCUUUACUGCUGUGUGCCCGAUAUUGGUAAACCCUGCUCUUCUUCCCUGUCCCUAGCCAUCUCUAUAGCUCUCUGCUUUGCCAGUCUCUGGGUGGGGGGAAACCAAAGUGGGUACUUCAUGUGUGCCCUGAAAGGCUGGGACGCUGGUCGUUCACUCUGCUCUCUCUUUCCCUGAAAGGAGAGCUCUUUCUAGCUGAGGAGUUCCCUCUUAGCACUGAGUAAUGCCAGCUUAAAGGACGGGGUGAUGCAGGCAAAAGGAAGCUGCUGUUCUUUCUCUUUAUGUGUGGUUAUCCUCACAUUUUUUGUUCUGCUAUGUUGCUAAAGUUUCUUAAGAGGGCUUUAGAGCUCUCCCAGAACUCUUUUUGAUCAUGGGUAGGUAGCAGUCUAAUUGUUGAUCUUUCUGGGAGGACAGAGGCUAAGCUCUCCUACUCCCCCAUCUUGGUGACAUCACUCACUAACACAUCGUUAAGGAUUUUUCAUUUAUAUUCAUGAGGGAUAGUGGUCUUGUCUUUGCAUGUGAUGUCUUCACUUGCCAUUGAAAUCAAGGUAACUCUGGCCUAAUAGAAUGAUGUGAGACCAGCUCUCUCCUUCGAUAUUUUCUGAAAUAGAUGGUGGGAGAUUGGGAUUAUUUGCUCCAUUAAUAGUCAAUGGAAUUCACCAGUUGAGUCAUCCGAAUCUGGGCUUUUCUUCCCUGAAAGGGUUUUAAUUACUAAUUUAAUUUUCUUGUUUGUUACAGAUCUAUGGAGAUUUUCUAUUUCUCUUUGAGUCAGUUUUGGAAAUUUGGAUCUAAGAAUUUGCCAAUAUCUUAUAAGUUGUCUAAUUUGUGGCAUAAAGUUGUUCAUAAUAUUCUCUUAUAAUCCUUUAAUUUCUCUGUGGGUGGCCCUUUAUAAUUUCUGAUAUUGGUAAAUUCUAUCUUCUCUCUUCCUUGGGGAUGCUAGCUAAGGGAUAGUCAACUUUAUCUGGUAAACAGCCAAUUUCUGGUUUUAUUGAUUUUUGUGUUUUGUAUUUCACAGACAUGUGUUCUAAUCUUUUGUAUUUCCUUUCUUUUGCUUGUUUUCAGUUUGGUUUAUUUUCCUUUCUUUCCUUUCUUAGGGUGGGAACUUAAAUUAUUGAUUUGAGACUUUCCUCUCUUCCACUAUAGGUGUUUAAUACUAUAAAUUUCUCUUUAAGUACUGCUUUAGGCACAUCCCAUAGACUUUGAUAUUCUAUUUUUUAAAUUUUCAUUCACUUCAAAGUACUUUCAAAUUUUGUUCCCAAUUUAUUCUUUGACUCAUGUGUUAUUCAGAUGGAUGUCAUUUAAGUUCCAAAUGUUUGUGGAUAUCCCAGAUAUAUUCCAUUCUUGAUAGCUCACAUUCCAUUGUGGUUGGAGAACAUAUUUUAUAUUAUUUCAUUCUUGCUAAAUCUGUUGAAUUUAUUUUAUGGCUGAGUACACGGUCUAUCCUGAAGCAUGUUCCAUGUGCUAUUGAAGAGAAUGUGUAUUUUGUAGUCAUUGAGUGCAGUGAUCUAUACACGUCACUUAAUUUAAUUUGGUUGAUAGUGCUGGUCAAGUCUUUUAUAACCUUGCUGAUUGUCUUUCCUCUUUUUAAUCCAUUAUGGACAGGAGGCAUUUGAAAUUUCCAAGUAUUGUUGUUGAAUUGUCUCUUUCUCCUUUCAUUUCUGUCAAAUUUUACUUCACGUAUCUUGAAGCUCUGUUGUUACAUUUGUAAGCAUUGAUAAUUUUUAUAUCUUUCUGAUGUAUUGACAUUUUGUCAUUUGGAUAUGUCCCUCUUUGCUUCUAAUAAUAUUUCUUGUUUUAAAGUCUGCAUUGUCCAGUAUUAAUACAACCCUCUAGCAAUCUUUUGGUAACUAUUUGUAUGAUGUGUCUUUUCCAUCCUUCUAGUUUCAACUUCUGUUUGUCUUUUAAUCUAAGAUGUGUCUUUUGUAGAUCACAUAUAGUUGGAUCUUGCUUUAUUAUUCAUUUUCCCAAUCUUUGUCUUCUAAUUGGUUUUCUUUAGACCAUUCACAUUUAGUGCAGUUAUUGAUAGGAUCAGAGUUACAUUUGCCAUUUUGCUAUUUGUUUUCUAUGUCUUCAGGCUUUUUUGUUCUCUGUCCUUCCUUUAUUAACUUCUUUUGUGCUAAAUAAAUCUUUCAGUACAUCAUUUUAAUUCCUCUAUUGAACAUUUUUUACUGUUUUUGAGCUAUUUUCCUAGUGUCUGUGCUAGGGAUUCCAAUAUGCAUUUUAACUGACUAUGGUCUAUUUCAAACGAAUAUUAACUUAAUUCCUAUGAAAUAUAGAAUGUUUCCUCCAAUGUAACUCUAUUACUUUCCCCUCUUGUGCUAUUAUUUUUAUAUAUAUUAUAUCUAUAUAUGUUACCAAACCAAUACCACAAUGUUACAAUUAUUUCUUUGUACAAUCUCAUGUCCUUUAAAGAAUUUAACAGAAGAAAUGAGAAAAUAUAUUUAUAGAUUCUUUUUUUUAAAACCCAGAAAUUUAUUACUUCUAGCUCUCUUAAUUUCUUCCAGCUGAUUCGAGGUACUGUCUGAUGUCAUUUUCUUCCAGCCCAAAGAAUUUCCUUUAGUAUUUCUCACAAUUCAGUUCUGAUAUCAAGAAAUUCUUCCAGUCUUUUUAAAUUUAAGAAUGUCCUUAUUUCACCUUUAUAAUUAGUGGAUAGUCUUGCUGGAUAAAAAAAUUCUUCGUUACCAUUUUUUCUUUCAGUAUUUUGAAUAUGCCAUUUCUCUGCCUUCUAGGGUCUAUCUUCUCUGAUGAGCAGUUAGAUAUUAUUUAUGUUGAUGCUCUCCUGUACAUGUUCAGUUGUUUUUCUCUUUCUUCUUUUAAGAUUUUUUCUUUGUGUGUGGCUUCCAACAGUUUGACUAUGAUGUGUCUAGCAGAGUUCAGGCUUAACCCUUAACCUCUUCAGGCUCGGAGGACCCUGGGCAGGAGAGAUUUAAGAACACCGUCCCCCCGCUUUCGCGGAAAGGCCAAGAGUGACUUGAAAUGUAGACGCGGAGGCCUAUGGGAAAUGCAGUUUUAAAUAGGAUCCAAGAAUGAUGAUCUGUGAAGAGUUUUCCAAGGUCACCUACUUCUAACUCUUUUGAAAGAUUUAAAGACAUGGGGCCUGAAAAUUUCAGUGACUUGUCCAGGGAAACGCAGUUUGUGACAGUUCACUCUCUCACAGCUGAACCACAGUCCUCUGUACUCGCCCAGGAGCCACAGAAAGUGAACAUCCCUCAGGUGAGCUCUUUAUUCAUUCCCCACUUUAUGUUGUAAUGGAUUUAUAAGGUUUAGCAGGAUCCAUGCAUUAAAGGAAAAGGAGAAGUAGAAAUAGUAGAAAUCAAGUCAGUCUUGAGGAAAAAUAUACCGUGUUUUACUAUUAAUUGUGAUGUUGGCUGUUAGCUUUGAGUGGGUAACCUUGUCAGGGUAAGUAGUUUCCCACUAAGCUACCUGUUUCAAUCUCUUUACUUGUGAUUGGGCUAUUCAGAUUCUCUGUUUCUUCUUGAUUCAGUUUUGGGAAGUUGUAUGAGUCUUAGAAUUUAUCUGUUUCUUCUAGAUUGUCCAGUUUGUUGCUAUAUAGUUUUUCAUAGUAUUCUCUUAUAAUCCUUUAUAUUUCUGUGGUAUCUGUUGUAAUUUCUCCCCUUUCAUUUCUAAUUUUAUUUAUUUGAGCCUUCUCUCUUUUUUUCUUAGAGAGUCAGGCUAAGGGUUUGUCAAUUUUGCAUAUCUUCUCAAAGAACCAGCUCUUUGUUUCACUGAUCUUUUCUACUGUUCUUUUUUCUUUUUUGGUUUCAAUUUCAUUUAUUUCUGCUCUGAUUUUUAUUAUUUCCCUCCUUCGGCUGACUUUGGGCUUUGUUGGUUCUUCAUUUUCUAACUGUAUUUUAAGAUUGCUUAUUUGAGAUCUUUCUUGUUUUUUAAGCUGGCCCUGUAUUGCUAUGAAUUUCCCUCAUAGGACCACUUUUUCUGCAUCCCAUAUGAGUUGGUGUGGUGUAUUUUCAUUUUCAUUUGUCUCCAGAUAUUUUUUGAUUUCUCUUUUAAUUUCUUCAAUGAUCCAUUGGUUGUUCAGUAGCAUGUUGUUUAAUCUCCACAUAUUUGUCACUUUCCCAGCUUUUUUCCUGUAGCUGAUUUCUAGUCUCAUAGCAUUUUGGUCAGAAAAGAUGCUUGAUGUGAUUUCAAUCUUCUUAAAUUUAUUGAGGCCUGUCUUGUUUCGAAACAUAUGGUCUGUCCUUUGAAUGCUCCAUGUGCACUUGAGAAGAAUGUGUAUUCUGCUAUUUUUGGACAGAAUGUUCCAUAUAUAUCUAUUAAGUCCAUCUCGUCUACUUUUUCAUUUAAUUCCACUAUUUCCUUGUUAACUUUCUGUCUGGAUGAUCUAUCCAUCGAUGUAAGUAGACUGUUGGGGCCCCCUGCUAUUAUUAUGUUGUUUUUAAUAUCUCUUUUUAGGUCUGUUAAUAGUUGCUUUAUGUACUUUGGUACUCCUUUGUUGGGUACACGUAUAUUUAUAAGUGUUAUGUCUUCUUGUUGCAGUGUCCCUUUUAUCAUUAUAUACUGCCCUUCUUUGUCUCUCAUUGCCUUUUUUAUCUUGAGGUCUACUGUGUCUGAUAUAAGUAUUGCAAUAACUGCUUUCUUUU
This is a long non-coding RNA of Equus caballus (horse), 17262 nucleotides long. Lineage: Eukaryota; Metazoa; Chordata; Mammalia; Perissodactyla; Equidae. The record is from Ensembl.